Molecule: ribosomal RNA, 1000 nt
Filed under: Staphylococcus gallinarum
Lineage: Bacteria; Bacillati; Bacillota; Bacilli; Caryophanales; Staphylococcaceae
Description: bacterial SSU rRNA
Rfam family: Bacterial small subunit ribosomal RNA
Source: RNAcentral
UCGUUAAUGGCGGGCCCUGCCCUAUUACUCGCAAGUCCGAGCGAACAGAUAAGGAGCUUGCUCCUUUGACGUUAGCGGCGGACGGGUGAGUAACACGUGGGUAACCUACCUAUAAGACUGGAAUAACUCCGGGAAACCGGGGCUAAUGCCGGAUAACAUAUAGAACCGCAUGGUUCUAUAGUGAAAGAUGGUUUUGCUAUCACUUAUAGAUGGACCCGCGCCGUAUUAGCUAGUUGGUAAGGUAAUGGCUUACCAAGGCGACGAUACGUAGCCGACCUGAGAGGGUGAUCGGCCACACUGGAACUGAGACACGGUCCAGACUCCUACGGGAGGCAGCAGUAGGGAAUCUUCCGCAAUGGGCGAAAGCCUGACGGAGCAACGCCGCGUGAGUGAUGAAGGGUUUCGGCUCGUAAAACUCUGUUAUUAGGGAAGAACAUAUGUGUAAGUAACUGUGCACAUCUUGACGGUACCUAAUCAGAAAGCCACGGCUAACUACGUGCCAGCAGCCGCGGUAAUACGUAGGUGGCAAGCGUUAUCCGGAAUUAUUGGGCGUAAAGCGCGCGUAGGCGGUUUCUUAAGUCUGAUGUGAAAGCCCACGGCUCAACCGUGGAGGGUCAUUGGAAACUGGGAAACUUGAGUGCAGAAGAGGAAAGUGGAAUUCCAUGUGUAGCGGUGAAAUGCGCAGAGAUAUGGAGGAACACCAGUGGCGAAAGCGACUUUCUGGUCUGUAACUGACGCUGAUGUGCGAAAGCGUGGGGAUCAAACAGGAUUAGAUACCCUGGUAGUCCACGCCCGUAAACGAUGAGUGCCUAAGUGUUACGGGGGUUUCCGCCCCCUUAGUGCUGCAGCUAACGCAUUAAGCACUCCGCCUGGGGGAGUACGACCGCAGGGUUGGAAACUCACAUGGAAUUGACGGGGACCCGACAAGGCGGUGGGAGCAUGUGGGUUUAAUUUCGAAGCAACGCGCAGAACCCUUACCAAAUCUUGACAUCCCUUUGAC